UACGUAGGUGGCAAGCGUUGUCCGGAUUUAUUGGGUUUAAAGGGUGCGUAGGCGGCUUUGUAAGUCAGUGGUGAAAUAUGGCAGCUUAACUGUCAGGGUGCCAAUGAUACUGCGGAGCUUGAGUACAGAUGAGGUAGGCGGAAUUGACGGUGUAGCGGUGAAAUGCUUAGAUAUCGUCAAGAACACCUAUAGCGAAGGCAGCUCACUAGGCUGUAACUGACGCUGAGGCACGAAAGUGUGGGGAUCAAACAGG
Molecule: ribosomal RNA, 253 nt
Filed under: uncultured bacterium
Lineage: Bacteria
Description: partial 16S ribosomal RNA
Rfam family: Bacterial small subunit ribosomal RNA
Source: RNAcentral